RNAcentral lists this ribosomal RNA (493 nucleotides) under uncultured bacterium. Its description in RNAcentral is "partial 16S ribosomal RNA". It matches the Rfam family "Bacterial small subunit ribosomal RNA", at positions 30 to 523 of the family's 1533-position model. The record is from RNAcentral.
AUUGAACGCUGGCGGCAUGCCUUACACAUGCAAGUCGAACGGUAACAGGUUAAGCUGACGAGUGGCGAACGGGUGAGUAAUACAUCGGAACGUGCCCAGUAGUGGGGGAUAGCCCGGCGAAAGCCGGAUUAAUACCGCAUACGACCUAAGGGUGUAAGGGGGGGAUCGCAAGACCUCUCGCUAUUGGAGCGGCCGAUGUCAGAUUAGGCAGUUGGUGGGGUAAAGGCCCACCAAGCCGACGAUCUGUAGCUGGUCUGAGAGGACGACCAGCCACACUGGGACUGAGACACGGCCCAGACUCCUACGGGAGCCAGCAGUGGGGAAUUUUGGACAAUGGGCGCAAGCCUGAUCCAGCCAUGCCGCGUGCGGGAAGAAGGCCUUCGGGUUGUAAACCGCUUUUGUCAGGGAAGAAAUCCUUUGGGUUAAUACCUCGGGGGGAUGACGGUACCUGAAGAAUAAGCACCGGCUAACUACGUGCCAGCCGCCGCGGUAA